Molecule: ribosomal RNA, 251 nt
Filed under: uncultured prokaryote
Description: partial 16S rRNA
Rfam family: Bacterial small subunit ribosomal RNA
Source: RNAcentral
ACGUAUGGGGCUAGCGUUGUUCGGAAUUAUUGGGCGUAAAGGGCGUCUAGGCGGGGUCUUCCUUUUGGUGGUAAAUCCCUGGGCUCAACCCAGGAACUGCAUCCAAAACUGGUUCUCUUGAGUUCGGGAGAGGAGAGCGGAAUUCCCGGUGUAGCGGUGAAAUGCGUAGAUAUCGGGAAGAACACCAGUGGCGAAGGCGGCUCUCUGGCCUAGAACUGACGCUGAAGCGCGAAAGCGUGGGGAGCGAACGG